Molecule: ribosomal RNA, 449 nt
Filed under: uncultured bacterium
Lineage: Bacteria
Description: bacterial SSU rRNA
Rfam family: Bacterial small subunit ribosomal RNA
Source: RNAcentral
GUCGAGAAUUUUUCACAAUGGGCGAAAGCCUGAUGGAGCGACGCCGCGUGGGGGAUGAAUGGCUUCGGCCCGUAAACCCCUGUCAUUUGCGAGCAAUGCUUUGUGCCUAAUACGCGCAAAGUUGAUAGUAGCGAAAGAGGAAGGGACGGCUAACUCUGUGCCAGCAGCCGCGGUAAUACAGAGGUCCCAAGCGUUGUUCGGAUUCACUGGGCGUAAAGGGUGCGUAGGUGGCCGGGUCAGUUCGAUGUGAAAUCCCCGAGCUCAACUCGGGAAUGGCAUUGAAUACUAUCCGGCUAGAGGAUCGGAGGGGAGACUGGAAUUCUCGGUGUAGCAGUGAAAUGCGUAGAUAUCGAGAGGAACACCAGUGGCGAAGGCGAGUCUCUGGACGAUUCCUGACGCUGAGGCACGAAAGCUAGGGGAGCAAACAGGAUUAGAAACCCCAGUAGUCC